Molecule: non-coding RNA, 4122 nt
Organism: Oryctolagus cuniculus (rabbit)
Lineage: Eukaryota; Metazoa; Chordata; Mammalia; Lagomorpha; Leporidae
Source: RefSeq, a predicted model, not a curated record
UUACUCAGGAGAACAACUGAAAGAAAGAAAGGAGUUAUUAAAUAUGGAAGGUGCCUUAGUUUGUUUCUGCUGCUAUAAUAAAAAUUCCUGAGACUAGGUAAUUUAUAAAGAGCACAUUUUUUUUCUCAUUGGUUCUAGAGAUUGGGAAGUACAAGAUUAAGGUUCUGGCAGGGUUAGUGUCUGGUAAGAGCUGUUUCCCACUUCCAAGAUGGUCCCUUGUUGGCUGUGUCCUCCAGAGGACAAUGUGGUGUCCUCCCAUGCUAGAGGCAGAAGGGCAAAAAGGAGACCAAUGUAGUUCUCUCCAGCCCUGUCAUAAGGCACUAAUCCAUUCAUGAACUCUCAGCCCUUGUGACUUAAUCACUUCCCCCAAAGACCCACUGCUUAUUACAACACAAUGGGGAUGAAGUUCCCACAUGGUUCUCGGAAGGGAUACAUUCACACCAGAGAAGACAGAUCAUUUGAAUUGUGUGUGGGAUGGCCUGAGAAGGCCUCAUUGAAGUGACUUUAGAGAAAACCACCCUGUGAAUGAAGGAGCAGAUAUCUGAAGGGAGAACACUGUAGGCCUUGAAACGAGAGCAAGCCCAAGGUAGGCAGGCAACCAUGAAGGUGGUGAUGUGGCAGGAUCAGGAAGAUUUCUGACACUCUCACGUGACUCCAUCUCAUGAAGGCAUGGGAUUCUUCAGUGAGACAGAAACUUGUGUAUUGACAUGGGAUGGAGGAUGUUCGCAUCAGCAGACAGAGUGUGUUGUAUAAAAGGGGAACUGUGCUGGUGAAAAUGGUUUCCUGUUCAUUUUUAAAUUUCUAAUUUAGGAUUGAAGAAAAUUUUGAGUGGAAGCCAUCUAAGGAAUUAGGUCAGCUUACAAGAGCAGCCCUGGAGACAAUGAAAGCACUGGGAACUUUAAUGACAAAGAAAAGUGAGUUGCAACCACCAGAAGACCUUGCUGAUUCAAAAUAAAGUCAAGACAACUCAGGCAUGAAAAGGAAAAGGAUGUUUGGAGGUCAACAUUUGUUUUCUCAAUGUAUUGAGACAAGUUCUUGAGACACUGAUCUUAGAGACUACUUUGGCUCAGACUUUUCCAAUCUUUACUGGUUGGUCUCAGGCACAUCCAAACACAUGAUAGGAUCUCAGGUUGUUAUAGCAGAAGUGUAAUAAGAAAAACAGGCUUAAUUCCCACUCCCAGCUUCCAAGAAUCAAAAGGGAAGUCCUGAAGAAUAAUUUCUACAAUGGAAACUAAAGGAAAGACAAGAGCAUUGUUCCCCAUCUUGGGAAGACCCACGAGUGGCCUUGUCUGAGUAGUGUGGAUUUGGAAGAAGCCACUCGUCUGAAGGAGAACGUCCUGUUUUGAUGGAACCUGGUAGGAGCUGGAUGAGGGCCACUUCUGUCAUCCCUUAUACAAAAGAGCGGUAUUCACUUCCUUCCGACCUUUUGGAUGAAGGCCCUAGCCGACAGGCCCCUGACUGUGCUGCUGGAGAUGGGCCACAUAAGAACAAGAUCCUUGUCAAGAACCAGAAAAUGGUGUGGGAUCCUUGCUCCUCAGAGGGGUGAAAGUGGUGUGGGAUCAGAAGCCUUAUCAUGACAGUUAAGCGAAACCAAUGCAGCACUAGUACUGAUGUGGGAGGAAUAUAGUGCUUCAAUCUGAUACAAACACACAGUGAUAUUCAGACACAUUGAAUAUUGCCAUAAAACUGCAUCGACUUAGCUUGCAUUUUCACACUUUCACAUGGGCAAUGAAAUAGAAAUUCAAGUCCUGUUUCAAUAAAAAUGUUGUAUUCCAUAUUUGUGAGCUGUAACUCACAAUUUGUAGUAUAAAUUAAAUCAGUGCAGUUCAGAUGUAUUUCUCUUAGGCUAUCAGACUUAAUAAAAAGCUACUUCUAAGGGCAUAAGUUGUACAUCAGAGUAUCUCAGAUGGCUUGUAAAAAGCAGAUGGCUAGGACCUACCUCCAAGAGCAGUCAUUCUGGGCUGGAGCCCUGUAAUUGUCAUUCCUAAAGAGUUCCUAGGUGUUAAGACCAAGCUUUGAGAAGCGCUUACUUGGGGGUGUCAGAAUCUUGACUGCCACGCAAAGGCAAUGGCCUCACUUGAGUGGGUGUUUUAUGAGGACUGGGAAUAAGCAAAUCCACAGAACCAGUUCCUUGAGUCAAGCAAUGUUACAGGGGUGUUUCAUGUAUGAACACACUUCACUUUCAUAGAAAUCCUCUCAAAUAGGUACCAUAUUUUUAGCCUCAUCUUGCAGAAUAGGAUAUAGAGGCUCAGAGAGGCUAAAUGACUUGUUGAAGAUCGCACAACUGGAAGAUGACAGAGCUAGGAUUCAAGCCCAGGCUGUUUGUCUGUGCUUGUAACUGCUGUGAUAAGUUCUGCAGAUCCGUGAGGUUUCUGAACACUGCCUGAAUUAUAGAUAUUGUCUGUGAGUGCUUUGGAUGUAUAAUAUGUAGGUGACAAAUUGGUCAUCUUCUGUGUUAAAUCAAGAUGACCCUUGGGAUAGGGGAUUAGGAGUCCCCAGUUUUGUCUAAGAACAAAAACCCCUGCAUGAAUUUUGGAUCUAGAAGAACUGUAGGAAGGGUCAAACUUUCCUAGGGAAAAAAACUGUUGAUGUUCCUGAGAUGCACCUAAAUUCCAUGACCUGAUUCCACUUUGUGCAGAACUUAAGCCUCCAGGACUGCCUCUCUCACUUAGAUGGUCACAGCUCUCCCAAGGUACACCAGGACCUUUCUCUCUGGUUUCUGCAUGGCCUCCCUCCUCUCCACACCUGUCUCCCCUGUUUCCCCACAAGGCUGUUCCUUCUGCAUGCCAUAUUCCACUCCAAUGGCAGCUGAUUUCUACCUGUGCCCUUCAGCAGUAGGCAGUGGUUGGAAGGUAGGAAGACAGACGUUGAUCCCCUUAUCCUCAGUGACCUGACUCCUCUGCACUCCUCAUCCUGUGGGAUGUGUCUGCCACGUUUGGCCUCCAGCUGGAUGACCCUGAGCUGAGCUCUGCUAAGUCUACAGCUCCCAUCCUCCUCCCGGCCUCCCUGAGGCUGCUAAUGACUUCUUGACACGUUUGGAUUGCCUCAUCGUCCCAUUUGGCUUCUUAGCUCUUCUACUGUCCGUGUAACCAGUUCCACAUAUGGAUGUCCUCUACUUACAACGCUUUAAGUGGUUUUUGUCUUCCUCACUGGAUCAUGACCUAUAGGCCCUCAUUUAGCUGCCCACAGAUGAGCUCCUACCCUGGAAGAUGUGUGCUAGUUGCUCUACCCUCAAAUGCUCUUCUCCCAGUUGAUCUCAUGGUUUACUCACACGUGUUAUGCCAGUCUUUUUAUAACUGUCACCUCCUCAUAGAGCUAACAUGAUCAUCCUGCCCAAAACCAACCUGGUAGUCUCCCUUCAUCACUUUUUGCUGUGUAAUUUUUCUACGGUGUUCAUCACUGACCAAAAUGAUCAUGCUUAUAUUUGUGUCUACUGACUUACUGAGCAGCUUCCAACAGUAAGAUGUAAGCAUCAUGAAAGUGAGUAUUUUGAGUGUCCCAUUUGCUACCUUCUUGAAUAUAAUGAGUACAAUUGUCUUCGGCACUAAAGAAAUAUUUCCUGAUAGACAGAUUAUCUGACUAAGUUAUUAACUAAAUGAAUUAAUAUAGUCUUAAAGUGAUGACCCUGGAAUGGCAAAUAGGAAAUCCUUUUAUUGCCCGCUCAGAUCAAUUCAUACUGUCCAUAGAAAAUACAAAACAGAAGUUUUGUGUGACACAAUUAUCUAGUUGAAUCCUAAAAGAAUUGUAAUAAGGCUCUGGGAGAUAUUGAGAAUACUUGUAUUAUAUUAGGCACACUAGUUUGCACCAACUAGAAAAUGUACCUCUAGUCAAUUGAAAGACUUAGUGGCCUGAAUUACUCAACAUCAUCAACCUAAAUGCUAGAGAAUGUCUGCCUGCUUCAAAAUAAUGACUUUGAUUUUACAUAGUGGAUACUCUGUUGCUCUUUCUGACGGUAACUGGUGGUCAACUUCCAAUUACUUCUGAAGGCUCAAGGAGCAGAAAGAAAGUUUUCCAUCAUUCCAUUUGCUACUUUUUAAAAAUAAAUUUUUCACUAAAGUGUAUUCUGUAUAUUUCCCCAUGCAUGUUGUUCUCCAAACAUUAUUAUUUUCAAGCAUGCUCUUU